RNAcentral lists this small RNA (1681 nucleotides) under Pongo abelii (Sumatran orangutan). RNAcentral's name for it is "transcribed unitary pseudogene". The record is from RNAcentral. Lineage: Eukaryota; Metazoa; Chordata; Mammalia; Primates; Hominidae.
AUGGGCAGCAUCGAACAAACAACUGAGAUCCUGUUGUGCCUAUCACCUGUUGAAGUUGCCAAUCUUAAGGAAGGAAUCAAUUUCUUUCGCAAUAAGAGCACUGGCAAAGACUACAUCUUGUACAAGAAUAAGAGCCGACUGAGGGCAUGCAAGAAUAUGUGCAAGCACCAAGGAGGCCUCUUCAUAAAAGAUAUCGAGGAUUUAGCCGGAAGUUGUUGAAAUGGAUGAAAACAACAGACUUUUACUUUUAGAACUGAAUCCUCCUAACCCUUGGGACUUACAGCCCAGAUCUCCUGAAGAGUUGGCUUUUGGAGAAGUCCAGAUAACAUAUCUCACUCAUGCCUGCAUGGACCUCAAGUUAGGAGACAAGAGAAUGGUGUUUGACCCUUGGUUAAUCGGUCCUGCUUUUGCCCGAGGAUGGUGGUUGCUCCAUGAGCCUCCAUCUGAUUGGCUGGAGAGGCUGUGCCAGGCAGACCUCAUUUACAUCAGUCAUCUGCACUCGGACCACCUGAGUUACCCCACAUUGAAAAAGCUUGCUGGGAGAAGACCAGAUAUUCCCAUUUAUGUUGGAAACACAGAAAGGCCUGUAUUUUGGAAUCUGAAUCAGAGCGGUGUCCAGUUGACUAAUAUCAACAUCGUGCCAUUUGGAAUAUGGCAGCAGGUGGACAAAAAUCUUCGAUUCAUGAUCUUGAUGGACGGUGUUCAUCCUGAGAUGGACACUUGCAUUAUUGUGGAGUACAAAGGUCAUAAAAUACUCAAUACAGUGGACUGCACCAGACCCAAUGGGGGAAGACUGCCUAUGAAGGUUGCUCUAAUGAUGAGUGAUUUUGCUGGAGGAGCAUCAGGCUUUCCAAUGACUUUCAGUGGUGGAAAAUUUACGGAGGAAUGGAAAGCCCAAUUCAUUAAAACAGAAAGGAAGAAACUCCUGAACUACAAGGCUCAGCUGGUGAAGAACCUGCAACCCCGAAUUUAUUGUCCCUUUGCUGGGUAUUUUGUGGAAUCUCACCCAUCAGACAAGUACAUCAAGGAAACAAACACCAAAAAUGACCCAAAUGAACUCAACAAUCUUAUCAAGAAAAACUCUGAUGUGAUAACAUGGACCCCUCGACCGGGAGCCACCCUUGAUCUGGCAAGAAUGCUGAAGGAUCCAACAGACAGCAAGGGCAUCGUAGAGCCUCCAGAGGGGACGAAAAUUUACAAGGAUUCCUGGGAUUUUGAACCUUAUUUGGAAAUCUUGAAUGCUGCUGUAGGAGAUGAAAUAUUUCUUCACUCAUCCUGGAUAAAAGAAUACUUCACUUGGGCUGGAUUUAAAGAUUACAACCUUGUGGUCAGGAUGAUUGAGACAGAUGAGGACUUCAAUCCUUUUCCUGGAGGAUAUGACUAUUUGGUUGACUUUCUAGAUUUAUCCUUCCCAAAAGAAAGACCACAACGAGAACAUCCCUAUGAGGAAAUCCAUAGCCGGGUGGAUGUCAUCAGACACGUGGUGAAAAAUGGUCUACUCUGGGACGAGUUGUAUAUAGGAUUCCAAACACGGCUCCAGCGGGAUCCUGACAUAUACCAUCACCUGUUUUGGAAUCAUUUUCAAAUAAAACUCCCCCUCACGCCACCCAACUGGAAGUCAUUCCUGAUGUGCUGUGAGCAGAAUGAGCCUGGGAUUUUGCAAGAAUGCAAAACCACAUGA